GUCCUAGCUGUAAACGAUGGGCACUGGGCAGGGGGAUACCUAUGCUCCUCUCUGCCGGAGCUAAUGUGUUAAGUGCCCCGCCUGGGGAGUACGCUCGCAAGGGUAAAACUCAAAGAAAUUGACGGGGGCUCACACAAGCGGUGGAGCAUGUGGUUCAAUUCGAAGCAACGCGAAGAACCUUACCUGGCUUUGACAUGCACGAAUUAGUUCUAUGAAAGUAGAAUGACAGCCCUUCGGGGUCGGAACGUGCACAGGUGUUGCAUGGCUGUCGU
Molecule: ribosomal RNA, 272 nt
Filed under: uncultured bacterium
Lineage: Bacteria
Description: partial 16S ribosomal RNA
Rfam family: Bacterial small subunit ribosomal RNA
Source: RNAcentral